AGACAGAGGGUGCAAACGUUGCUCGGAUUUACUGGGCGUAAAGCGCAUGUAGGCGGAGAGAUGUGUCGGGUGUGAAAUCCCUGGGCUCAACCUAGGAACUGCAUCCGAAACUGUCUUUCUAGAGUAGUGGAGAGGAAAGCGGAAUUCCGGGUGUAGAGGUGAAAUUCGUAGAUAUCCGGAGGAACACCAGUGGCGAAGGCGGCUUUCUGGACACUAACUGACGCUGAGAUGCGAAAGCGUGGGGAGCAAACAGGAUUAGAUACCCUGGUAGUCCACGCCGUAAACGAUGAGUGCUGGGUGUCUUGGGUAUUGACCCCCGAGGCGCCGUAGCUAACGCGUUAAGCACUCCGCCUGGGGAGUACGGUCGCAAGACUAAA
This 377-nucleotide ribosomal RNA is filed under the name uncultured bacterium. Its description in RNAcentral is "bacterial SSU rRNA". It matches the Rfam family "Bacterial small subunit ribosomal RNA", at positions 523 to 898 of the family's 1533-position model. The record is from RNAcentral.